Molecule: ribosomal RNA, 502 nt
Filed under: uncultured bacterium
Lineage: Bacteria
Description: partial 16S ribosomal RNA
Rfam family: Bacterial small subunit ribosomal RNA
Source: RNAcentral
GUUGAACGCUGGCGGCAGGCUUAACACAUGCAAGUCGAGCGGUAACAGGAGAAGCUUGCUUCUCGCUGACGAGCGGCGGACGGGUGAGUAAUACUUAGGAAUCUACCUAGUAGUGGGGGAUAGCUCGGGGAAACUCGAAUUAAUACCGCAUACGACCUACGGGAGAAAGGGGGCAACUUGUUGCCCUCGCUAUUAGAUGAGCCUAAGUCGGAUUAGCUAGAUGGUGGGGUAAAGGCCUACCAUGGCGACGAUCUGUAGCUGGUCUGAGAGGAUGAUCAGCCACACCGGGACUGAGACACGGCCCGGACUCCUACGGGAGGCAGCAGUGGGGAAUACUGGACAAUGGGGGCAACCCUGAUCCAGCCAUGCCGCGUGUGUGAAGAAGGCCUUUUGGUUGUAAAGCACUUUAAGCAGUGAAGAAGACUCUAGGGUUAAUACCCUUAGACGAUGACAUUAGCUGCAGAAUAAGCACCGGCUAACUCUGUGCCAGCCGCCGCAGUAA